RNAcentral lists this ribosomal RNA (460 nucleotides) under uncultured bacterium. RNAcentral's name for it is "partial 16S ribosomal RNA". It matches the Rfam family "Bacterial small subunit ribosomal RNA", at positions 338 to 795 of the family's 1533-position model. The record is from RNAcentral.
CCUACGGGAGGCAGCAGUGAGGAAUAUUGGUCAAUGGCCGGAAGGCUGAACCAGCCAUGCCGCGUGAAGGUCAGUGCCCUAUGGGCGUUAAACUUCUUUUGUGCGGGAGCAAUAAUGGUCACGUGUGGCCAGACGAUAGUACCUUACUAAUAAGCAUCGGCUAACUCCGUGACAGCAGCCGCGGUAAUACCGGGGAUGCAAGCGUUGUCCGGAUUUUUUGGGUUUAAAGGGUGCGUAGGCUGGGAGGUAAGUCAGCGGUGAAAUGCCCUCGCUCAACGGGGUGAAGUGCCAUUGAUACUGGCUAGCUGGAAUGCGGAUGCCGUGAGAGGAAUGUGUGGUGUAGCGGUGAAAUGCAUAGAUAUCACACAGAACACCGAUUGCGAAGGCAUCUCACGAAUCCGCGAUUGACGCUGAUGCACGAAAGCGUGGGUAUCAAACAGGAUUAGAUACCCUUGUAGUC